GGAUGUGAGGGCGAUCUGGCUGCGACAUCUGUCACCCCAUUGAUCGCCAGGGUUGAUUCGGCUGAUCUGGCUGGCUAGGCGGGUGUCCCCUUCCUCCCUCACCGCUCCAUGUGCGUCCCUCCCGAAGCUGCGCGCUCGGUCGAAGAGGACGACCAUCCCCGAUAGAGGAGGACCGUUCUUCGGUCAAGGGUAUACGAGUAGCUGCGCUCCCCUGCUAGAACCUCCAAACAAGCUCUCAAGGAUAUGAAAAAAGUCAAAUUGGCCACUGUGUUGGGAAAGGACUGUAGGAGGGCAACAUAGGAAAUACUGCUACCAAUCAGAGAACUACUGUGAAUGUCCAGGU
This 343-nucleotide small nuclear RNA is filed under the name Castor canadensis (American beaver). Its description in RNAcentral is "7SK RNA (ENSCCNG00000008578.1)". It matches the Rfam family "7SK RNA". Rfam says of the family: 7SK was discovered as an abundant small nuclear RNA in the mid-70s but a possible function has only recently been suggested. Two independent studies have found that 7SK RNA binds the CDK9/cyclin T complex (known as elongation factor P-TEFb). The record is from Rfam by way of RNAcentral. Lineage: Eukaryota; Metazoa; Chordata; Mammalia; Rodentia; Castoridae.